RNAcentral lists this ribosomal RNA (425 nucleotides) under uncultured Glomeromycotina. RNAcentral describes it as "SSU rRNA". It matches the Rfam family "Eukaryotic small subunit ribosomal RNA", at positions 670 to 1092 of the family's 1831-position model. The record is from RNAcentral. Lineage: Eukaryota; Fungi; Glomeromycota.
AUGGUAUGUACUGGCUUUACUGAUUCCUCCUUCUUGAAGAACUGUAAUGUCAUUAAUUUGGUGUUGCAGGGAAACAGGACUGUUACUUUGAAAAAAUUAGAGUCGUUUAAAGCAGGCUAACGCUUGAAUACAUUAGCAUGGAAUAAUGAAAUAGGACGUUCGAUCCUAUUUUGUUGGUUUCUAGGAUUGACGUAAUGAUUAAUAGGGAUAGUUGGGGGCAUUAGUAUUCAAUUGUCAGAGGUGAAAUUCUUGGAUUUAUUGAAGACUAACUACUGCGAAAGCAUUUGCCAAGGAUGUUUUCAUUAAUCAAGAACGGAAGUUAGGGGAUCGAAGACGAUCAGAUACCGUCGUAGUCUUAACCAUAAACUAUGCCGACUAGGGAUCGGAUGAUGUUAAUUUUUUAAUGACUCAUUCGGCGCCUUACG